AGGGAAUAUUCCGCAAUGGACGAAAGUCUGACGGAGCGACGCCGCGUGGAUGAAGAAGGCCGAAAGGUUGUAAAAUCCUUUUGCUGGUGAAGAAUAAGCGUACGAGGAAAUGCGUGCGUGAUGACAUGAUCCGGUGAAUAAGCCCCGGCUAACUACGUGCCAGCAGCCGCGGUAACACGUAGGGGGCAAGCGUUGUUCGGAAUUAUUGGGCGUAAAGGGCAUGUAGGCGGUUUUGUAAGUCUGGCGUGAAAUGGUAAGGCUUAACCUUAUCCUGCGUCGGAAACUGCGAGACUAGAAUCACUGAGGGGAAAUCAGAAUUCCAGGUGUAGGGGUGAAAUCUGUAGAUAUCUGGAAGAAUACCAGUGGCGAAGGCGGAUUUCUGGCAGAUGAUUGACGCUGAGGUGCGAAAGCGUGGGGAGCAAACA
This 425-nucleotide ribosomal RNA is filed under the name uncultured bacterium. RNAcentral's name for it is "bacterial SSU rRNA". It matches the Rfam family "Bacterial small subunit ribosomal RNA", at positions 356 to 774 of the family's 1533-position model. The record is from RNAcentral.